ACAUUGAAUUUAGAAAGUUAAAUCUAGCAAACAACCUGACAGACUGUUCAGUCUUUAAUAAUGUGAGAAUAAACAGAAUAAAUUAAAAGCACACCAUAUUCUUCUCAGCUUCCUCAGGGGCUUUGUCCAAACAGCUUGAACAACUGCAAAAUAAUAUUCAGGAACCAUGAUAGUGUUUGGUACAUAGAGGACACUGGAAAUGGUUUUCUUAACUGAACAAGUGACUAGAAUAAAGGAAUUAAUGAACGACAUCAGAGCUGAAAUCCCAAACCAUAAAUCAUAAAAGGAUCAGACAGCAAAGAGUACUCAAAAGCUGAUUUAUUGAGAUCCUGAUGAGUUUGAAGUAACUAGAAACUUGAUCAAACAGUGACAAGACCCAAGAUUUGUUUUACUCUAAAGUGAGAAAUUAUCCUCAACAAAAAAACAUUUCACAGUGAGAAUCAGAAGAAUAUUUGCAUCAGGCAACUCUGGGUGCUAGAUAUUUAUUUUUUUUCUUUUUCACAUGAACUAUAAAAACUUACCACAAAAGACUGAUCUCCACAACUGCUUAUACUCUAGGUAUGUGAACAUAAGCAUAAACCCAAAGGUCAUUAUCCAGUCACAGUUUGGUAUUUUAUCAACAUCAUGGCAAAUGAUGUUGUUCAUAAGAACCUGAAUCUUAUGCUUCCAUUUUCCAGGAUUAUUAUACAUUGCACUGUUCUUGCUGAUACUCCAAAGACAUGUAGAAAAUAGAAAGGUAUAUUUCUCUCUUACCAUUUAUAGUCGAUUUCUUGAAAGAUAUGUACAUGUCGUUACCUUGCGUUCACCCCGCAACUGACUUCUGUAUAAUUUUCUACUCACCACCAGUGAAAAUGCACCUGUCAAAGGUAUUAACAUCACCCUUAUAACAAAUCUAAUUACCAUUUUUAGCCCUCACCUUAUUUAUCAUUUGAGUUCUUUUAAAAUUCUCAGAAGUUCCACCAUUGGAAAUAAAAAUGAAAAAGAUUUUGCAAAGGCAAUUAAUAAUGAGUCAUCAGAGAGAAUGAAGCCACCAAGGAAAUCUAAAGUUUCAAAAACUUGGGAAAGGUCGACAAUGUCAGACAUCCAAGGGAUGACUGAAAAUAUUCUGCUAAUAUGCCAUUGGUGAACAAUACAGAGAUUCCAAAAUGAAAGAAAAGUCAUCCUCUCUGGAAAUGUGAAGCAUAACUAAAGUUUGACCAACAAGUUGUAGAAGUGAAAGGCAUCAAAUAUAAUAACCAAAGAAAACAGAAAAAUACCACACGUCCGGUAAUUCCUCAGCUGGCAGUAAAAACAGAUGAUUGAUUUAAACCUUUUCUCUACAUACAUUCUCAGGUGGGAGGCCUUUGCCCCACAUUUUGCUAAUAAUGUUAUGCAUUUCAUGCAUCUAAUGUCACACUCUCAGUGCUGGAAUCAAAGCCAUAUAAUCAUCAAACAGGUCUUUGGUCUUUGUUAUUCAAAAUCAGAGGAAAAUAGAAUUAAUUAAUGACUAAAAAAUAGUUAAGUCUCUCACUUUUUGAAUCCACCUCUCUUUAUAGUAUUCCUUAGGUUUCCCUGUUUUAAGAGUUAGCACUUGUAUCUGAUGGGAGGGGAGUUAGCUUUUUAAAAUUUUUUUUAAU
This 1616-nucleotide long non-coding RNA is filed under the name Homo sapiens (human). RNAcentral's name for it is "HSALNT0319061". Lineage: Eukaryota; Metazoa; Chordata; Mammalia; Primates; Hominidae. The record is from RNAcentral.